UUUUUUGCUAAAAACUUUUUCAAAAGUAUUUAAAGAGCCUUUGCAUAGUUUACGAAUUCUGCUUAGUAGGGACCUAAAAACAGGAAUUUUUUUUCUCAGAGUCGGACCACGCCUUAUGACGAAAGGGGGAGAAAGGACGGAUCACCUGUCGAUCUGUGAUCAAAGAAAACUAUACCUGAAGAAUGGGAUACAGAUUGACAAGCACAAAAGGGUAGGCUUGGCUAUUAAUCUACGCUCAUUGAUGAGACGGCGACAUAGAGAAGAAAGUAUACCCUUUGUCACCCCCUUGUCACUUAAAAGUAAAGAAGAGAUACACACUUUGGAAUCCAAAUUUAAGAUUGACAAGCACAAAAGGGUAUGCUCGUUAGAGUUAGGGAAAAAAGCUAGCUGGAAGUAAUCUCUUCUUCUCAGUGAAAGCUAAAGGCCCUGGUAUAGUAGGAGUGUGGUGCGUGCUCUCUUUAUUCUGUAGAUGCGCUCCUGGGAAGGGAAGCCAGAAUUUUUGAUGUAGAUCGAUCAAUCCCGCCCUGUUCAAGUGAUCGCCCCGAGCCGAGCGAGAUU
Molecule: long non-coding RNA, 558 nt
Filed under: Nicotiana benthamiana
Lineage: Eukaryota; Viridiplantae; Streptophyta; Magnoliopsida; Solanales; Solanaceae
Description: long non-coding RNA (NBEN_LNC018074)
Source: RNAcentral